RNAcentral lists this ribosomal RNA (1399 nucleotides) under Lactiplantibacillus pentosus. RNAcentral describes it as "bacterial SSU rRNA". It matches the Rfam family "Bacterial small subunit ribosomal RNA", at positions 70 to 1438 of the family's 1533-position model. Lineage: Bacteria; Bacillati; Bacillota; Bacilli; Lactobacillales; Lactobacillaceae. The record is from RNAcentral.
CUCUGGUAUUGAUUGGUGCUUGCAUCAUGAUUUACAUUUGAGUGAGUGGCGAACUGGUGAGUAACACGUGGGAAACCUGCCCAGAAGCGGGGGAUAACACCUGGAAACAGAUGCUAAUACCGCAUAACAACUUGGACCGCAUGGUCCGAGUUUGAAAGAUGGCUUCGGCUAUCACUUUUGGAUGGUCCCGCGGCGUAUUAGCUAGAUGGUGAGGUAACGGCUCACCAUGGCAAUGAUACGUAGCCGACCUGAGAGGGUAAUCGGCCACAUUGGGACUGAGACACGGCCCAAACUCCUACGGGAGGCAGCAGUAGGGAAUCUUCCACAAUGGACGAAAGUCUGAUGGAGCAACGCCGCGUGAGUGAAGAAGGGUUUCGGCUCGUAAAACUCUGUUGUUAAAGAAGAACAUAUCUGAGAGUAACUGUUCAGGUAUUGACGGUAUUUAACCAGAAAGCCACGGCUAACUACGUGCCAGCAGCCGCGGUAAUACGUAGGUGGCAAGCGUUGUCCGGAUUUAUUGGGCGUAAAGCGAGCGCAGGCGGUUUUUUAAGUCUGAUGUGAAAGCCUUCGGCUCAACCGAAGAAGUGCAUCGGAAACUGGGAAACUUGAGUGCAGAAGAGGACAGUGGAACUCCAUGUGUAGCGGUGAAAUGCGUAGAUAUAUGGAAGAACACCAGUGGCGAAGGCGGCUGUCUGGUCUGUAACUGACGCUGAGGCUCGAAAGUAUGGGUAGCAAACAGGAUUAGAUACCCUGGUAGUCCAUACCGUAAACGAUGAAUGCUAAGUGUUGGAGGGUUUCCGCCCUUCAGUGCUGCAGCUAACGCAUUAAGCAUUCCGCCUGGGGAGUACGGCCGCAAGGCUGAAACUCAAAGGAAUUGACGGGGGCCCGCACAAGCGGUGGAGCAUGGGUUUAAUUCGAAGCUACGCGAAGAACCUUACCAGGUCUUGACAUACUAUGCAAAUCUAGAGAUUAGACGUUCCCUUCGGGGACAUGGAUACAGGUGGUGCAUGGUUGUCGUCAGCUCGUGUCGUGAGAUGUUGGGUUAAGUCCCGCAACGAGCGCAACCCUUAUUAUCAGUUGCCAGCAUUAAGUUGGGCACUCUGGUGAGACUGCCGGUGACAAACCGGAGGAAGGUGGGGAUGACGUCAAAUCAUCAUGCCCCUUAUGACCUGGGCUACACACGUGCUACAAUGGAUGGUACAACGAGUUGCGAACUCGCGAGAGUAAGCUAAUCUCUUAAAGCCAUUCUCAGUUCGGAUUGUAGGCUGCAACUCGCCUACAUGAAGUCGGAAUCGCUAGUAAUCGCGGAUCAGCAUGCCGCGGUGAAUACGUUCCCGGGCCUUGUACACACCGCCCGUCACACCAUGAGAGUUUGUAACACCCAAAGUCGGUGGGGUAA